UUACAGCUGGUUCCUCAGAUUCUCUGCUAAAAAACAACUUUUGAUUAUCACGUCAAGCGCUGAAAUAUUAGUUUAAGCUUCUUAUAUAUGGAUUUCUGAGAGCACACAUCUGAAGCACGCGCUCAGAAGCUGCUGUCACAGCAACUGCAAUGAAGCAUCAAGAAAGACAUAAGCAUGCCAGCCACCCUGAGACUUAUAAUUCAUUGGAAUACAUAUCUGUCACUAACAAAGUGGAUGGUGAGCAAAGGUGGUGGCCAUGUUUUGGAACGGCACCUGGGUUUUGCAGGUGGCUAUGUACUUUUUCCCUAUUAUGUUUCUGUUGCCUGAAGAUUUUUUGUGAGGAUAAAUCCAGAGAAUACAACAUAAUGCACAGCAAAAUGUCCUAAGACAGGAGAAAUGGUGAAGAUGCACUUUUUUUCAGCAUUGGAAGACUGUAUUUUUAAGUGUUAUACAUGCAAUGAUUAAAAAAAGUAGGAUAAAAAUAAAAUGAAUUCAAUAUAAAAUAAAUGAAAUCUAUAUUAAAAUGAAUGAAUUACAGUAGUAUACUGGUGAAUUGAUUUUUUACAGUAAUUUACAGUUUGCUACUGUACAUAAGAUAAUGUUUGCUA
Cyprinus carpio (common carp) is the source of this 608-nucleotide long non-coding RNA. RefSeq lists it as uncharacterized. The transcript is spliced from 3 exons. Lineage: Eukaryota; Metazoa; Chordata; Actinopteri; Cypriniformes; Cyprinidae. The record is from RefSeq and is a predicted model, not a curated record.